UUCUGGUUGAUCCCGCCGGAGGUUACUGCUAUCGAGGUCCGACUAAGCCAUGCGAGUCGAAUGUAGCAAUACAUGGCGUACUGCUCAGUAACACGUGGAUAACCUACCCUUGAGACGGGGAUAAACCCGGGAAACUGGGUAUAAUACCCGAUAGAUCUCGACUGCUGGAAUGCAUCGAGCUCUAAAGCUCCGGCGCUCAAGGAUGGGUCUGCGGCCUAUCAGGUAGUAGUGGGUGUAGCGUACCUACUAGCCUACGACGGGUACGGGUUGUGAGAGCAAGAGCCCGGAGAUGGAUUCUGAGACACGAAUCCAGGCCCUACGGGGUGCAGCAGGCGCGAAAACUUUACAAUGCUGGAAACAGCGAUAAGGGGACCUCGAGUGCCAGGUUACAAAUCUGGCUGUCGUGAUGCCUAAAAAGCAUUGCAUAGCAAGGGCCGGGCAUGACCGGUGCCAGCCGCCGCGGUAACACCGGCGGCUCGAGUGGUAACCGUUAUUAUUGGGUCUAAAGGGUCUGUAGCCGGCCGGAUAAGUCUCUUGGGAAAUCUGGCAGCUUAACUGUCAGGCUUUCAGGAGAUACUGUCUGGCUCGAGGCCGGGAGAGGUGAGAGGUACUUCAGGGGUAGGGGUGAAAUCUUGUAAUCCUUGAAGGACCACCAGUGGCGAAGGCGUCUCACCAGAACGGACCUGACGGCAAGGGACGAAAGCUAGGGGCACGAACCGGAUUAGAUACCCGGGUAGUCCUAGCCGUAAACGAUACUCGCUAGGUGUCGGCCACGGUGCGACCGUUGUCGGUGCCGUAGGGAAGCCGUGAAGCGAGCCACCUGGGAAGUACGGCCGCAAGGCUGAAACUGAAAGGAAUUGGCGGGA
This 866-nucleotide ribosomal RNA is filed under the name uncultured Methanosaeta sp. RNAcentral describes it as "bacterial SSU rRNA". It matches the Rfam family "Archaeal small subunit ribosomal RNA", at positions 1 to 873 of the family's 1478-position model. Lineage: Archaea; Methanobacteriati; Methanobacteriota; Methanomicrobia; Methanotrichales; Methanotrichaceae. The record is from RNAcentral.